Molecule: non-coding RNA, 535 nt
Filed under: Triticum aestivum (bread wheat)
Lineage: Eukaryota; Viridiplantae; Streptophyta; Magnoliopsida; Poales; Poaceae
Description: Bacterial small subunit ribosomal RNA
Rfam family: Bacterial small subunit ribosomal RNA
Source: Rfam by way of RNAcentral
GAGUUUGAUCUUCGCUCAGAAGGAACGCUAGUUAUAUGCUUAACACAUGCAAGUCGAACGUUGUUUCCGGGGAGCUGGGCAGAAGGAAAAGAGGCUCCUGGCUAAAGUUGUCUCGCCCUGCUUCAAAACUACAGGGUGCGCACUAUGGCUUUGACCUAACGGCCUCCUUUUGCUGGAAUCGGAAUAGUUGAGAACAAAGUGGUGAAUGGGUGCGUAACGCGUGGGAAUCUGCCGAACAGUUCGGGCCAAAUCCUGAAGAAAGCUUAAAAGCGCUGUUUGAUGAGCCUGCGUAGUAUUAGGUAGUUGGUCAGGUAAAGGCUGACCAAGCCAAUGAUGCUUAGCUGGUCUUUUCAGAUGAUCAGCCACACUCAGACUAAGACAUGUCCCAGACUCCCACGGGGGGCAGGAGUGGGGAAUCUUGGACAAGGGCGAAAGCCCGAUCCAGCAAUAUCGCGUGAGUGAAGAAGGGCAAUGCUGCCCAUAUUUAAAAUGGUCAGCCUGUGCAGCAGAAAAAAAGGCGCUCUAAUCGUACUCG